CCUACGGGGGGCAGCAGUGAGGAAUAUUGGUCAAUGGGCGUAAGCCUGAACCAGCCAAGUCGCGUGAGGGAUGAAGGUUCUAUGGAUCGUAAACCUCUUUUAUAAGGGAAUAAAGUGUGGGACGUGUCCUGUUUUGUAUGUACCUUAUGAAUAAGGAUCGGCUAACUCCGUGCCAGCAGCCGCGGUAAUACGGAGGAUCCGAUCGUUAUCCGGAUUUAUUGGGUUUAAAGGGUGCGUAGGCGGCCUUUUAAGUCAGCGGUGAAAGUCUGUGGCUCAACCAUAGAAUUGCCGUUGAAACUGGGAGGCUUGAGUAUGUUUGAGGCAGGCGGAAGGCGUGGUGUAGCGGUGAAAUGCUUAGAUAUCACGCAGAACCCCGAUUGCGAAGGCAGCCUGCCAAGCCAUGACUGACGCUGAUGCACGAAAGCGUGGGGAUCAAACAGGAUUAGAUACCCGGGUAGUC
Molecule: ribosomal RNA, 460 nt
Filed under: uncultured bacterium
Lineage: Bacteria
Description: partial 16S ribosomal RNA
Rfam family: Bacterial small subunit ribosomal RNA
Source: RNAcentral